Molecule: ribosomal RNA, 468 nt
Filed under: Aeromonas sp. AE138
Lineage: Bacteria; Pseudomonadati; Pseudomonadota; Gammaproteobacteria; Aeromonadales; Aeromonadaceae
Also listed under: 4 other names
Description: bacterial SSU rRNA
Rfam family: Bacterial small subunit ribosomal RNA
Source: RNAcentral
AUUGAACGCUGGCGGCAGGCCUAACACAUGCAAGUCGAGCGGCAGCGGGAAAGUAGCUUGCUACUUUUGCCGGCGAGCGGCGGACGGGUGAGUAAUGCCUGGGGAUCUGCCCAGUCGAGGGGGAUAACAGUUGGAAACGACUGCUAAUACCGCAUACGCCCUACGGGGGAAAGGAGGGGACCUUCGGGCCUUUCGCGAUUGGAUGAACCCAGGUGGGAUUAGCUAGUUGGUGGGGUAAUGGCUCACCAAGGCGACGAUCCCUAGCUGGUCUGAGAGGAUGAUCAGCCACACUGGAACUGAGACACGGUCCAGACUCCUACGGGAGGCAGCAGUGGGGAAUAUUGCACAAUGGGGGAAACCCUGAUGCAGCCAUGCCGCGUGUGUGAAGAAGGCCUUCGGGUUGUAAAGCACUUUCAGCGAGGAGGAAAGGUUGGCAGCUAAUAUCUGUCAGCUGUGACGUACUCGCAG